GGUAAUUUGAGUGGUAGAUGGUGUCAUUCCAGUGCUUGACACUGGAAUCCAGGAAUUUGGAUUGGGCACUAAGUUAGUGAGCAUAAAAGUGGCUGAUCUUAUGUUAAAACACAACGUUCUUGAUGAGAUUACGGCAAGGCUGGAUUCCAGUGUCAAGCACUGGAAUGACACCAUUUGCUGUGCAGUUU
Glossina morsitans morsitans is the source of this 188-nucleotide non-coding RNA. NCBI's taxonomy places the organism in Eukaryota, Metazoa, Arthropoda, Insecta, Diptera, Glossinidae. The record is from Rfam.